RNAcentral lists this transfer RNA (73 nucleotides) under Diaphorina citri (Asian citrus psyllid). It matches the Rfam family "tRNA". Rfam says of the family: Transfer RNA (tRNA) molecules are approximately 80 nucleotides in length. Their secondary structure includes four short double-helical elements and three loops (D, anti-codon, and T loops). Lineage: Eukaryota; Metazoa; Arthropoda; Insecta; Hemiptera; Psyllidae. The record is from Rfam by way of RNAcentral.
GCCUAGUUAGCUUAGUUGGUAGAGCGUCUGCCUUGUAAGCGCUAGGCCGCGGGUUCGAUUCUCGCCCGGGGCG